Molecule: long non-coding RNA, 769 nt
Filed under: Triticum aestivum (bread wheat)
Lineage: Eukaryota; Viridiplantae; Streptophyta; Magnoliopsida; Poales; Poaceae
Description: long non-coding RNA (TAES_LNC012778)
Source: RNAcentral
GCUGAUAUGGGGGUCGUGAGGGUCAUUUUUUAAACGGACUUGCAACUCCUGAUGGAAGCACUUAAUAUCAAUAAGGUGGACUCGUCGGCCUAUACUACUGUUAUUGAGGAUACCAAGUACCUGCUCAAAUUAUGGUUUUCUUAUUACGAAAUUAAUGUAUGUCGUCGCUUGGCAAACUCUGUUGCUCAUAUCUUGGUAGGAUGUUAGAAUCUAACCAGUAUUUGGAAUGGGAGGCCGAUGUACCAACCUUUGUGGCUGCCUGUGCUUUCGGUGAUUCAGCCUAGCACCGUUAAGUUAAAAGCAAUGUUUUUUCUCAAAAAAAGAAGCUUUUAGUAGAUGUACUUGUGGUUAUGCCUUAGACAUUUACACUUGUAUAGUUGUUCUGAUCCCUUAGUUACAUGCUUCCUGACACAGUAUUAGCCAAUGAGACUGGAAUAAUUGUAUGGCGUAUCUUACGUUCGACUCAUUAACUAGAACUUUUUUUAUUUCUUGAUUGCAGGAACCAAAGAACUAGCUGGACUGGACACUAUAUCACGGGAAGUUUAGUCUUCGAAGUUAAUUAGGAUGGCUAAAUUACAUUUGAGUUUCAUUUGAUGGAUAUUUUCUAUGAGAAUUAUGAAUUUUAUGAAUCUACAUAUUAUACGUAUGGUUUUGAAUAUUGUAAUCGAAAGCCUGUAUUUUUUUUACGGUUGCAAUAGACUAUUACCACAACCCACUUUUGGUUGCCAUAUGCUAGCACCACUAAAAAUAUAGUGUUGCGUCAUAUCUC